Molecule: ribosomal RNA, 465 nt
Filed under: uncultured bacterium
Lineage: Bacteria
Description: partial 16S ribosomal RNA
Rfam family: Bacterial small subunit ribosomal RNA
Source: RNAcentral
GACGAACGCUGGCGGCGUGCUUAACACAUGCAAGUCGAACGGAAAGGCCCCUUUGGGGGUACUCGAGUGGCGAACGGGUGAGUAACACGUGAGUAACCUGCCCUUGACUUCGGGAUAACUUCAGGAAACUGGGGCUAAUACCGGAUAGGAAUCCUUGCUGCAUGGUGGGGGUUGGAAAGCUUCGGCGGUUUUGGAUGGACUCGCGGCUUAUCAGCUUGUUGGUGGGGUAGUGGCUUACCAAGGCUUUGACGGGUAGCCGGCCUGAGAGGGCGACCGGCCACAUUGGGACUGAGAUACGGCCCAGACUCCUACGGGAGGCAGUAGUGGGGAAUAUUGCACAAUGGGCGGAAGCCUGAUGCAGCAACGCCGCGUGCGGGAUGACGGCCUUCGGGUUGUAAACCGCUUUCAGCAGGGGCGAAGCUUGUGGUGACGGUACCUGCAGAAGAAGCACCGGCUAACUACGUG